AUAGGAAAAAGGUUAGGAAAAAUCGAGGGAAAGGUUGGGAGAGAAAAUAGAGUAAGAAAAGAGUUGGAAACAUAGCCUAUAUAUGGAGAAGCAACGUUUAUAUACAUAGAGAAUACACAUGAAAUAGGAUUUUGAGGGUUGGCUCUUUGAGUUUUCUAUCUCGUUUACUGUCUAUGAGAGUCCGUCGGAGCCUCUCUUGUGGUCUUGGAAAGUACUCCUCUAGCUCGUCGUCUUGAUUCGGUGCCUCGAAAAAGGUAUACUUCUUCACUUUCUUUAUUAGUUCUCUUGCGUGUUUUAGCUUCAACCUACUGUUUAGAGUAGCCAAUUUUGCCUAAUGUUUCUUUGUUUUAUUUAAAUUUCAACUUUCCAAUCUUAGUAUAAUUGAGUUUUUAUUUUGAUGAUCAUAAGCUUUUCCUUUGCGCGCUUUGACCUGAAUGUGAUUUGGAUAUAUGUAUGUGAAGUGUUGAGAUGUUGUUUGGUUUAGCUUUUCAUUAGUGUGAUAAGAAUGUGACCAUAGCUUGGGUUGUCCGCCUUUGUGUUCUUUUUAUUGUGAUGGAUCCUUGUUAAUGAUAGUUCAAACUUGCUUAAUAUGUGUAUCUAAUCUUUGUUCCCAUUUAGUCUGAAUGAUAUCCAUGUCUAUUUUUGUUUUAACUCGUGAGAUUAUGAUCAUAUCUUAUCAUAAGUUUGUCGAUAACUUGAUUUAUACCCUUGUUGCAAGGCUUUCUUAUUCCUUUUUGGACCUCUGCCUAUGUAUGAGUGAGUCGAAAAAAGAUGUGGUUCAUAUCUUAAAUUAGUUUAGUAUUGUAUCUAUUAAGAUUAGUCAAACCCAUUGUUUUACACACUCUUUUUUACUAGCCUCUUAUUCAUGUCGGAAUUAGAGAUUCUUUUAAUUGGUAAUUAGGAUAUAGUCUCGCAAGAUCGGACUAACGAAGCUAGCCUAGAAUAACUUGGCUUGCUCUUGUUAGUAUUGUACUUGAUUCAUGUAAAAGUUUUCUGAAUGAAGUUUUUUUUUAGGUAUUAGCUUCACUUCUUUAGAGCAUUCGUGUGAAUUCAUACUAUUGCGAGAUUUUUCUUACCAACCAAUGCAUAAAUGUUUUCUUGCUGCUUUUAUUUUAACUUUGGAUGGGUCGGUUACUUUCUCAUAUUCUAGUGUUAAUCUUGGACUCAAUAGCAGUGAUCAGUGUUGUUUUCUUUUUUUUUAAUCUUGUCUUUACCAUUAAUAAAUUCUUCACUCAUCUAAUAUUUUAAUUAUAUUUGAAUGUGGCUUUUUUUUUUGCGUCAAAUUUGAAUGAUCUACUUAGCUUGUCUAAUACUUAGUUCAAAAUUGUAGUCUGUAUAUGCCUCUCAUUCAAAAUGUUAGAAUUUAUUUUCAAAUAGUCAUGUUGAUUCAUUCUUUGUUUAUUCUUCCUCAAGUUUAUUAUCAAGUUGGUAUAAUUAGUUUUCUGUCAGUGAACCCUUUGUCUUAUUUGAGUUAGAAUGCCUUAAUUAUAGGGAAGUAUGAAUUUGGCAAGUAGUUGGAUCCUCUCCAUUGUUUAAAAUUUGUGCAAAACCCUUGUUAUAUCCUUCAUUUUAUUCCAAGUGAUCUGGAUAACUACUGAUUUUUUUUCUCUUCUUUGAAUACAUGUGACAUUGAUUCGAGUCUAUUUGGACUCCACCCUUGCAUAUCAUUGAGUCGUUUCGAGUCGACCUUCAUCUUUGUUCGAGUUUCGGAAGCUGAUAUACAGGUCUCGAAGCGGAAAGAAGGGGCUAUAUAUGUGCCUUAGACAGUUGUAUACGUAAGACAUACGGUGAUAUACACUCACUGUAUAACUAUAAAUGCAAAGAAAUGAGCGAGAAGCCCUCUUUAAAUUUUCAGCUUUGUUUUAUGUUGUAAUUGGGCCUAAGCCCUUUUAUUUUAGAUCAUAUGAUUGUCUAUUAGUUAUUAGGACAGGUACAAAGAGGAAAAUAUUGGGCCAAAGCCCAAAGAAGGGAAUUACCCUUUUGUUAGUCUAGGACAGGUACAAAUGGGUCAAAGGCCCCAACGCUGAAAUUAGGGCCAAGUUACUGUCCCAGGCGGACAGAUCCAGACUUGGGCUCAAAUCUUCUCCUCCCUUUACUCAUUUAUUUGUUAUUAUGUGUUUUAUGUGUUUAUUUAAUUUUAGAGGUUUCCUAAUCAAUGUGCCCAAAAGAAAAGCCAUUUUGAGUUAAAAUUAAAUCAAUACUUGUCUUCAAUUUGACCUUUAGAGUAUUUAUUGUAUUUUACUUAAGUAAAUCCCUUACAAUAUUUCCCCUCCCC
This 2275-nucleotide long non-coding RNA is filed under the name Solanum tuberosum (potato). RNAcentral describes it as "long non-coding RNA (STUB_LNC009303)". The record is from RNAcentral. Lineage: Eukaryota; Viridiplantae; Streptophyta; Magnoliopsida; Solanales; Solanaceae.